CUCAGAGCAGGUGAGAAGCUGGCUGAAUGCAUCUCAUUGAGAUGAUUUUGGGGAUGACAGGAUUGUUCAUAAAUUGAUUAUACAAAGAUCUUCCUUGAAUUUAGUCAGAACAAGCAGUUUUCAUAUUACCGGUUGCAAGCCUAACAGCAUUCCCUGAAAAAACACUCUAUUUUUUGGUUGCUGGUUUGCCAUGUAUCACAGAAUCACAGAAUGGUUUGAUUUGGGUUGGAAGGGACCUUAAAGAUGAUGUAGCGUCAAUGUAUCUUACAAAAGAGCACAUGACCUGUCUGCUGGAUUUCUUUAGUAGGGAGACAGAUGAAAGAACUGGAAAUUAGAACCUCUUGAGCUUUCCAUUCUCCAGCUUACUAACGCGGUUUCUUGGAAAACUAUUAUUGAAAGACCUGAAGCUUAGGAGUUUAGCAGAUACGAGAAACUUCCAGAGCAAAUGGUUGCAGAAUGGAGAAGGGAACAAGACUGAAGUCCUCAUGUAUGCUUUUUGUAAUCAAGCAAGUAUUUCUGCCCCUGGAAAAACUGUAUCUAAAACAAGGUCUUGAAACAGCUACUUUUCUUAUCUCCUUCGAAGCAUACUGUAUUCUAUAGCAUACCUAAAAGGCCACACCAAUCCUAGAUAUUAGAUCUUCAAAUCUUCUAUGCAUUCUUGGAUGGACCUCACUCAUAUAAGUCAUUCUUACUACAAAUUAAGGACAUACACAUUGGUAUUUGGUACCAAACCUGUAAUCAUCUUUGCUAAGCACAAGAAAACCCUUUUUCUUCACAUAAGAAAUUUGCCCUAAGUCCCUUGCAGCAUGUCAUGGUUAUGUAAGCAUAUAAUUACAAGACAAAACUACUGUUCCUUAGGAUUACUUCUUUAAAACAUUCUAGGAUUUUCCUCUUGCACAACAUACACUUAUUCCUUCUAGAAAAUCUAUCCAGAUUUGCACAUCUAUCCAAAUAUCCAUAGAGUGUUCCUGGUUAUCCACUUCUAAAGGAGAAUUAUGAAUGUAAACAAAGCCCUUACACUGCUGUUCUGACUACUACAAGCCAGACCAAAUAUGGGGGACUAUUGUAACUUAACCUCUAUAUUAACAGAGUCUUGUUGGAUUCUGUGUGUUCAUAACUUAUCUUUGGAAAAUAAUUUUUUGGUUUUUUGAGGCUUGGCUGUACAAUACAUGUUAAUGAUACUUUUCUCAUUCUGUAACAACCCUAACAUUUGUUGUUGUAAUUGUCAUUAUGUGAUAUAAAGAUCAACUGGUAUAAAGAUGUUUUUCAACAGUUGUAAUUACUUUAAAGGAUAUACUGUAAGGCUUUUGUCUGGAAGCAUUUAAAAGCUAAUAUAAACACACCAUUUAUUUUCAUCAAUCAUACUUGCUUCUUUUUCUUAGUGCUUUUCCUCUGUUUUAAUUUUUUGAACCUUUACUGUCAAUAACAACUUCUAAUUUUUCCUCUUUUUUUUCACUUCACAGAUCAAAUCUUUUUGAUCUUUUAAGGUUUUCAAGCAAUGUUCUGACAUGCACUCAAAAUCUCUUUAUACCACAGUCUCCCUAAAUUUAUUUUGUUCUUGAUUCAAAUAUAAACAACUAUGUUCCCUUUUGUUAUUUACAAUAUACUUAAAAAUAGCUUCAUGUGAGUGUGGCUAGUAUAUAUACUUCUUAUUCUCCCCCAGAUCUUCACAAACUGCAACAGUCCCCACAGUUUACUGAGAUCUGAGUUGACAGAAGUUGUCGUGGUUUUAAAUCUCAGAUAUAUGAGAAGGAGUACCACUUAAAUUAAAAUCAAACUGCUGUUCCAUGAGGGGGAUGUUCUGAUUUUCAAAUGCAUAAGACUUGUUGACAUGAUGACUAAAAUGCAUAGUCCUUUUUCAAAGCAUUUAAUCACUUCAUUAUAUACUUUUUCAUAUUGUAUUAGUUCUUUUUGAUGCUGUAAAUUAAUACAUGCAUAAAAGCAAGCUAUAGUCAGCUGGAAUGUCUAUUGCUAUCAUUAUUCAGAAAAAGGCAUACUCACCACCACAUUUAAUAGACCUUUGUCUGAAUAAAAGACAGAAAAAAAAAAUCCUUUUUUUUUUGCAACUUGUAAAAUCUUGGAGUCUUAAAUCUUCCCUCACUUGCAAGAGCAAGUUCUGAGAAUUUAAAUUGCAUCAACCUGAAAGAUACUGCAAAUACAAGUGCCUCCAUGUUUCUUUAGAGCUAUAGAACAAAAAUGAAAACACUAGCUCUAAAUAUUUCUUUCUAACAAUCUUUAGUGGUUGAUUAAAUAUUUGUGCUGUUCAAUAGCAGUUCUGUAGAAGCAGGCUCAAUGCUGAGAAACUCACUGAAGUGCAAGACAGAGUCUUAUCGUGGUGAAGUGUCGUUAAAUUCUGCUUAUUUAUAUGUGAGAAGGCAUGGAGCAGUAUGUACUGAAGCCCCAUCUCUUAGAAAAAGAUAAGAUUUAUUUUCACUAAGAAUUUCUUAAUUUGGAAAUAGUCUAUAAACAAAAACAAAUCUGGUGUGUGAGUUUUAACAUUAUUUUCCUCCCUCUGGAUAUACUUAUUUGCUUAGAGAAGUCUGUUUUUGCAGUGGGCACUAUGCUCCCCAGCCAUGACUUACUGAUGACCAGAUCACAGCCCACAGUCCUUGAUACAGACCAAGGAAGGAAAAUGUAUUUUAACAUGGAAAUGUCAAGAAAAGCUGUACUGGUUUACUGGUUUAUGACCUUUAAUAUAGCCUUAGAUUUGAAAAAUCUUUCUAAACUCCUACCCAUAUGCUCUGGCUUUUUGUAGUAAAGCAAAUGUUUGUGCUGCUGCUCAAUAUAAUCCCCUUUUCCCUUCUCCCACAUCUGCUACUGACCAGGCGUUUUCUUCCCUGAGAUGUGAGUGCUUAGUUUGAAAAAGACACAUCAUUUUUAAGACUAGAAGCUGUCAUUGUUAUUAAAACAUUUUACUCAGGGUCAAAAUUAGGGUUUAGGAAUCUUCCUCAGUGAUUUUGGGCAGCUGACUGAAUCCCUCCAAGCUUUGGUCUCCUAUUUGUAAAAGUGAAUAAUUAUAACGUUUAAUUUUAGGAGAAAAGUUUUGUUGCUUAUUUUGAUUGAAAGGUUUUCCCUUGCACAAUACUAGGAAAUAAUAUUAUCUCAUGAAUCUUCCACACAUUUCAAAUAAUGAAAAUAUUUUUAAAAAUAAGAAUACUGUCUCAAAAUGCUUUAAAAUUAAAUCAUACUUGAACUACUAUCUUUGGGGUUUGAAUAUGUUGUGUAUCUUCUGCUGUUUCAGUGUUUGUGGAGAGUGAAAUAAUAAAGUAGUUGAAUAAAAAGUACUAAAGCUU
Parus major (Great Tit) is the source of this 3293-nucleotide long non-coding RNA. RefSeq lists it as uncharacterized. NCBI's taxonomy places the organism in Eukaryota, Metazoa, Chordata, Aves, Passeriformes, Paridae. The transcript has 5 exons. The record is from RefSeq and is a predicted model, not a curated record.